CUGAAGGGCUUCUAUCAAGGGUCAUGUGACACCAUGUUGGCCUGGGAAAGUAAAAUCCUGAAUAAGGUCUUAAAGAGGAAGAAAGAAAAUACUAAACAAAAAAUAUUUUAUCCCCCCCAAAUAUAUUUUAGGUAUAAUGGCUAUAGUAUAAAAAAUUACUGCAGUAUGACUAUUAUUCAGUGGUAUUAGAUAAAGAAAAUUCAUGUUGAAAUGUGCAAGAGCCUCCAAAUCUAUAGGCUAAUAGAGAAAGGAUGCUCUAACUAACCAACCGGAUUCAUUUUCUUACAUUGUAUGUACCUGGCUUUCUGAAAGAGGCAUGGGUCCAUUCCUUGCAGAAGAGAUGGUUCAUUGAAUAGUGGCAUUUACAGUAAAGGAAAUGCCUUUGUUUUCUAACAGUUUGCAUCAAAUCUCUCAUGCCAGGGGAAAAGAGGCACCAUGUGAAGGCGGGCCUGAGGCGUGCCAAGGGCAGUCUCCUCCCUUUGCCUGCCCUCUUCCUCCUCUGUGUUUCUCACAGGCGCAGCUGUACCCCAGGGUGCAGUUUCUCUGUAGCUCCAUGCUUUCCGUAAUCCUAGCUGCCUGCUCCAGCUGCUGACAGGACUGCCAUCUUCUGCAACCUCCAGGAUCAGGAAAAAGAAAGAGGCCUCGAAGCUUCCAAAUCACUUCCUCUUGGCCCAGGAACAAUGGCUGCCAUACCAGAAGAAGGCUCUUGUGUCAACUUCAAAGAAAUGAUGUUUAUUGACAACAC
RNAcentral lists this long non-coding RNA (745 nucleotides) under Rattus norvegicus (Norway rat). RNAcentral describes it as "long non-coding RNA NONRATT027675". Lineage: Eukaryota; Metazoa; Chordata; Mammalia; Rodentia; Muridae. The record is from RNAcentral.